Molecule: long non-coding RNA, 5113 nt
Organism: Gallus gallus (chicken)
Lineage: Eukaryota; Metazoa; Chordata; Aves; Galliformes; Phasianidae
Exons: 2
Source: RefSeq, a predicted model, not a curated record
GCAACUGCACUGGAGCCCCGAGUCUGUGCCUGGAGGGCUUCUAGAACUCAUGAAAGGGAGAGGCUCACCCAGGAGACCCAUUGCUCAGCCAUGGACUAGAUUGGAGAGUGCACGUGGGGCUGCUCCCAGGCAGCAUCUGUGGAGGUGUGAGCAGCCAGCAGCACAAGGCCGGACCCUGGAUGCUGCAGGAGCGACGGCUGCAGCUCAGCACAUCACCGUCUGUCAUCCACAUCCUCAGGGAUAGGGAUGACAUCGGCAUUGUUAUCCGGGGCAGCAUCAAUCUCCGCGACGCCACUGCGCGGAUUAUCAACCCGAAGACACUGCAUCCAACCACAGCCUGACGCACAGCCUCAGGUCAGACAGCGAGAAGGACGUGAGUCUCUUUCUCCACUUCGGGAGCUGAAUGUCUGCAUCCCUGACCAACAGAGGUGCAUCCUGAGCUCUGCAACGCGGUGCUUUUCUUCCUGAGCAAACCACCAUUUCACUGCGUUGCAUUUUUGUUCAUCUCAGUGGGUUGCGGCGAUUCCUGAAGAAAGGAAUUGCAGCUGAAUUGCAGCUGAAGAUGCAGCUCAAUUGCAGCUGAAGAAAUACCAAACCACGUGAACCUGCUGUUGUACCCUUGAAGGAAAUCCUCACCCAUGACGUGCUGUUUAUUUGCAACACAGCAAUGAAAGGGCACGGGGUGUGCUGGAAAAGUUGGGAUCUCAGCUGCUGAAAAAUGUCCUCACCGCUGAAAAUAUCACCUUAUUUGCAAUUGACGGCACCAACACUGCCUGUGGGGGAGCUGUAGGAAUUACUGGGAAGUAGAUAUGAGUAUUGCCUUUCAGUCACACACUGCAAAAAAAAAAUGGUGCAAAAUAAUAAUAAAAGAGAAGCUGCCAUCUGGUUUUGAUCGCUCUGUGAUGUCAUUUUUUAUUACUAUUUCUGGGGGGCGUUUCUGUGCGUCCCCCCGUGAGUCCCUUCCGACCCACAGCAUCCUAUGGCGCUGUGACUGAGGCCAUCGUGUCAUCUGAAUUUCUUUGCUUUCCAAGCUUUUCAGGCAUCCGGGAUUUAAUUUCACAGAUUUACGUUCGUAUUUCGAGAUUUAACAUUUUAAAAUGUCAGCAGACUGAUUUCUAGACCCUGUCUUUGAAAGGCUAUAAAACAGAUCCUCCUCGUUAGACGCUCUUGCUUUCUGUGCCCCGAGGUGCUCGCUCAUCAUUCUGCUGUUCAUAGAAUCACAGAGUCACCAAAGUUGGAGAAGACCUCCGAGAUCAUCCAGUCCAACUGUCCACCAUCCAGUCCAAACUGUCCUUUUCAUGGAGGAUGAUGGAGUCCCACCUUGCAGGGAAUUUCUUACAUGGGUUCUUAUCUCACCGGGAUGGCGCUCCGUGGGAGCAUCCCUGGCGGAGCAGAGCUGACCUCACCAGCACAGUUCUGUGAAUGAGCUGAUAAAUAACAUUGCCUUGAACUGUGAGUGAACUGUCAGUAGGAAACGUUGAAAGGAAUGGGACGACGUCCGUCCUCACUAUUGGCAGUGCUGUGGAAAUGUAGAUCCAAAGGAAAACCAUGUUCUGUACAGGGGAUUUUUACCCCUCCAAGAGAGAGCACUUCUCCUCCGUGUGAGUGCUGUGUGUUUCCACGGGAUUCUGAAAGAACAGUGAUUUCUGGAGCAAAUGUUUUACUUUGACACUCUCCUUACCCAACAAGAAACACCACCGUCAAAGAGCUCAUGACUUACUGACCGAUGUGUCUGUGCAGCACAUCCCAGCCACGUGCUCAGCCUUUUCUGCAGCACUUGUGUGCAAGCUGAGAUGGAGGGGGUCCUGGUGUACAACACCUGUGGGGGCUGCUGACAAAACUGUCCCUCCAUGGUCUUUGCAGGAGGGCAACGUGGACAAGAAUGUUGAUCAUGAAGCAAUGACACAGAUGGCAAAAGCAGUGCUCCAAGAGGAGUAUCGGGACCCCGAUGGGUCCGUGUGUCCAUCCGCCCCACACUUGGCUCCAGCACUGCAGCUGGGCAUUAAUCAGCAGCCACAGAGGGAGCGCUCAGGGAAAACCACACAUCCCUUCCUCUUAAUUGUGCUCAAGCCCACUGAAAUGAGUGGAGGGAACGCAACACUCCAUUAUUCCCAGCAAUCAAAUUAAAUGGAUGCUUGUCAUUAAAGAGUCACCAUGAGCCUUCAGUUGCCUCACUGGCAGCUCUGAUUGUGGCUGUGUUAUCACCGUGGGGGGGUGGUGAGUGGAUUCCUGCACGUGCUUUAUCCCCAGUCAAUCUCUACAGACUUCAUUUGCUGGCAUUUUAAUGAUGUUCUCGUCAGGGGAUUUGGAAAAUACCCCCCAGUCUGAUAUGCUGUAAGGGUGACCUGGUGCAUCGUGUGAUUUGUAGCCUAGGUGAGGAAAAUCAAAGCACUUCAGCUUGCUUCCACCUUCCAAAGGCAAAGCCAGCAGCAAAGUGAGCAGAGCACGGCCAGCAGCCCCAUGAGCUCAGGAGCCGUCCUUUGUGGAGUGCGGUGUGGUGUCUUUGCCUCUUUUCUUUCUUCCUUCCCCAAUGUUGGAAGCUUUUUGUUAACACUAUAGAAUCAUAGAAUCAUAGCAUUGCUCAGGUUGGAAAAGACCUUCAAGAUCAAGUCCAACCACAGCCCAACCAUCCUACCCUAACUCUAACAGCCCUCCACUAAAUCAUGUCCCUGAGCACCACAUCCAAACAGUUGUUAAACACAUCCAGGGAUGGUGACUCAACCACCUCCCUGGGCAGCCCAUUCCAGUGCUUAACAACCCUUUCUGUAAAGAAGUUUUUCCUGAAAACCCAUUAAACUCCUGUCUGUUCUAGGAAAAUUGCUACCUGGAAGAGAAGCGUGCCCACCAGCUCUCCUCCAGUAAAGGUAACGAAUCAAGCAGGCAUUCAUUAACACAUUAAAUUACUGUGACAUUGAUCGUCCAUUGUCCACUUCCUUCUGCUCUCAGCAGCCCUGUGAAAUGCAUCCACCCAUUACAGUAAAUACUUUAAAAAUUAUGAAAUGCCUCAUUUCUUGCUCAGAGAGGCUGUGGAUGCCCCAUUCUUGGAGGUAUUCAAGACCAGGUUGGAUGGAGCCCCGGGUAACUUGGUCUGGUACCAGAUCUGAGGGUUGAUGGCCCUGCUUGUGGCAGGGGGUUGGAACAUGAUGAUCCGUGGGGUCCCUUCCAACUCAAGCCAUUCUAUGCAGCAGCAGUACUGGCAGUGCCACUGCCUGGUUUUGGGGGUAGUGUGUCUGGGUGAUAAAUGGAGUUGAAGAGGAGAAUUUAUGCAUUAAUGUUAUUGCUGUUAUUGGGCUGGAAAAGAUUAUCUUUAUCUGCACUAGUCUAAUGCUGGCCUGAUCCUGUUAACCAGCUACCACAGAUGUUUAGACAAACACAUCCAUAAUCUCAAGAUGAAAAAUUAAAGGAUAUCAAAUGGGUUUUCAGAUGAAACUUGAGCACAGGAAAACAAGUUGAUAUUGUCUCUUUGGAUUUCUUUUUGGUAUACCUUUAUUUAACGUCCAUGCAAAAUACCUGUGUUCAUAUAGGCAGUUCAGCAUAUACUGGGUGACCGUGCAGCCAAAGAAAAACAUCCUCAGCACAUUAAAACUAUGACCACAGGGAAAGAUCAACUGCACUUGGAACUAAGUGCGUGUCCACAGCACAGAUCCAUGUCCUGCUCACACACUGGUAUCCAAAAUUAUAAUAUGCCAUUGCUGUGGGUUGUUAAGGCAAUGGAGAAUGAGCUCAUGCUCAGUGCCACUUAUCUCGUGCCUGCAGUGUGGAUGGGGGGGUCUCUGGGAAAGCAGGUCUUCCUGACCUCGAGUCUCAUUGUUUCUUAGAGCCAUAGAAUGUCUUUUGUUGGAAGGGACACAUACGUGUUCCCUACUUCUGUACAGUGUCACUUGGGAUCAGUCUGAACUUGUAGAGAGCAUACGGUCAGGAGGAUGAAGUGUCUCUGACCCUAUGGACUUUCCUGGUGGAUUUGGAGGGGGAUCUGUUCCCAUCAAACUUCUCCCCUGCCCUCAGCAGUGCAGGUGGAGGGAUGGGAUUUCCAUGCAGCCCAGCAGUACGGGACCUGGCAGGGAUUCGUGUCCUGCGUGUUGGAUGGGGUUCUGUGGGAGCUGCUGGGACGCUGAUCUGCCUGCUCAGAGCUGGGCAAAGAUGUGUGGAGGUCUCCAGUCCAAGCUGCCACUCAGAGCAGAACAUCUCCAGCAUUACACCAGGAUGGCUGUAAGGCUUUGCUGAGCCAAAUCUUAGAAGCCACCAAGAAUGGACACCUCCAUCUGCUCCCAAGAUCUGAACAAGGCUGGGCCAUCCUGCCGGAGAGGAAGGCUCUCCUGGUGCCAGCCCUGACCCUCCUGAGCCUCAGCCUGUGGCUACUGCUCCAGUGCCUUCACCUCCAGUUCCCUUUCAGAUAACUGUAGGAUUGAUGUCCUGCUAUUCUGCAUAACGCCCACCUCACUUCAUUUUUCAUCAUGUUGAUGUUGAGCAUCAUGUCAUCAUCCAGAUGUUGAACGAUGUGUCACUCUGGGGCCCUCACUCAUUGCCAGUUUUGAAGCAGACAUCAGUCCAUCGCUCACCACCACCUGAGCCUAUUUUCAACCACCAAAGAGCCCAUUCUGCCUCAGCUUCCAAAUAAAAUGUGGGAGAGCAUCUUGUGCCAUCUGACCCACCAGAAUCACAAACACACACUCAUUGUGCUCUGUUGUUACAAUCACUCCAUUGGUUCUCUGUGAGCAUCAUUUUAGGUCCUGAGAAUGUAUUCUGGAUGUGUUUGCUUUAAUUAACUAUCAUCAUCUCCUGCUUUCCCAAGAAAAAUGACUCACUGAUUUUACUCCAGGCGGACCAAUCACUUUUCUUUCCCUGAAACCCUAUUAAUUAAUCAAUAUUUAUAGAGAACAGUAUAUGUGAUUUGACCAAAUGUUGUUGGCCUGACCCCUGUGAGCCCAGCUGUAGCUGCAGCCCAAGGAGUUCUGCCUUUCCCUUCUGGUCCCUUACUGAACCAAUGAAGGACACUCAGAAUGUGGUUUCUUUUACACCUUGUGUGUUUUCUCAUGCAGAUGCGUAUUCAUGGCUGUUUGAUGCAGGACCUCACGUGGGUAUGUGUAUUUGCAUAAACAUUCAGAUGAGAAUA